Molecule: ribosomal RNA, 379 nt
Filed under: uncultured cyanobacterium
Lineage: Bacteria; Bacillati; Cyanobacteriota
Description: bacterial SSU rRNA
Rfam family: Bacterial small subunit ribosomal RNA
Source: RNAcentral
CGAAAGCCUGACGGAGCAAGACCGCGUGAGGGAGGAAGGCUCUUGGGUUGUAAACCUCUUUUCUCAGGGAAGAAGCUCUGACGGUACCAAAGGAAUCAGCCUCGGCUAACUCCGUGCCAGCAGCCGCGGUAAUACGGAGGAGGCAAGCGUUAUCCGGAAUUAUUGGGCGUAAAGCGUCCGCAGGUGGCGAUUCAAGUCUGCUGUCAAAACCCAGGGCUCAACUCUGGUCAGGCAGUGGAAACUACAUAGCUAGAGUGCGGUAGGGGCAAAGGGAAUUCCCGGUGUAGCGGUGAAAUGCGUAGAGAUCGGGAAGAACAUCGGUGGCGAAAGCGCUUUGCUAGACCGAAACUGACACUCAGGGACGAAAGCUAAGGGAGCG